AGAGUCACUCUGCCUUCGGCCGGUUCCUUGUACUGGUCCCUGCUGAUAAUGGAGUUUCGCCGAGUUCCUUUUCUUAUCUUGCCUUACAUUCUACUUACCCCAGCCCCAUGCAAUAGUUAACCCUUCGACUGUCCUCUCUAACUCACUCUUCUCAAGCUGUCAG
This is a long non-coding RNA of Numida meleagris (helmeted guineafowl), 163 nucleotides long. RefSeq lists it as uncharacterized. NCBI's taxonomy places the organism in Eukaryota, Metazoa, Chordata, Aves, Galliformes, Numididae. The transcript is spliced from 3 exons. The record is from RefSeq and is a predicted model, not a curated record.